This 388-nucleotide ribosomal RNA is filed under the name uncultured bacterium. Its description in RNAcentral is "bacterial SSU rRNA". It matches the Rfam family "Bacterial small subunit ribosomal RNA", at positions 27 to 407 of the family's 1533-position model. The record is from RNAcentral.
GAGUGAACGCUGGCGGCAGGCCUAACACAUGCAAGUCGAACGAGAAGGCGUAGCAAUACGCUUGUACAGUGGCGAACGGGUGAGUAAUACGUGGGCGACCUACCCUCGAGUGGGGAAUAACCCGCCGAAAGGCGGGCUAAUGCCGCGUACGCUUCCAUCUUUAUGGAGGUGGAAGGAAAGCCGUGCCGUGGGCACGGCGGCUCAAGGAUGGGCUCACGUCCUAUCAGCUUGUUGGAGGGUAACGGCCUACCAAGGCUCCGACGGUAGCUGGUCUGAGAGGACGAUCAGCCACACUGGCACUGCGACACGGGCCAGACUCCUACGGGAGGCAGCAGUGAGGAAUAUUGCGCAAUGGGCGAAAGCCUGACGCAGCGACGCCGCGUGGGGG